This 506-nucleotide unclassified non-coding RNA is filed under the name Glicophyllum salicifolium. Its description in RNAcentral is "Tetrapterys salicifolia partial contains external transcribed spacer and 18S ribosomal RNA". The stretch from base 447 to 506 matches the Rfam family "Eukaryotic small subunit ribosomal RNA", at positions 1 to 60 of the family's 1831-position model. Lineage: Eukaryota; Viridiplantae; Streptophyta; Magnoliopsida; Malpighiales; Malpighiaceae. The record is from RNAcentral.
UUGGGCGUGUGAGUGGUGUUUGGAAUGUUGGGAUGGUAGGCUCUGUGCUCUAGCAUCGAAMUACUAGACCUCAUCCUUUUCAAUGCUCAAGCAUUAUUUUUAGUUUUGCUUGGUAGUUGAAAGUGUUCCUGUAUUUGAUACCCAUGUUGGUGGAACUAAAUUUCUAUUUGCCUUAAUCCUUUUGGUGCCUUUGUUGGUCAUCAGGAGGAGCACAUAGUUUGAUCUGCCAAUCCUUGCAUGCCAUUUUGGUUGCAACGGUCGGUGGAUCAUAAGCUGGUUCUCUCGGAUGCAGAAUAUUCAAUGGGUCCAAGGAUAUAAUCCUUGUAUUUACCCUGUAUGGAAACUUGUCCCUCGAUACGAACGACAUCCUUUGUGUGUUAUGAUUUAUCCAAUGCCCACUGUGGUUGAGGAUACUUUGUGCGUGCAUCGGUGUCUUGAAGGAAUGCUACCUGGUUGAUCCUGCCAGUAGUCAUAUGCUUGUCUCAAAGAUUAAGCCAUGCAUGUGA